This 962-nucleotide ribosomal RNA is filed under the name Vibrio sp. Y516. RNAcentral describes it as "bacterial SSU rRNA". It matches the Rfam family "Bacterial small subunit ribosomal RNA", at positions 539 to 1501 of the family's 1533-position model. Lineage: Bacteria; Pseudomonadati; Pseudomonadota; Gammaproteobacteria; Vibrionales; Vibrionaceae. The record is from RNAcentral.
CGUUAAUUCGGAAUUACUUGGGCGUAAGCGCCAUGCAGGUGGUUUGUUAAGUCAGAUGUGAAGCCCGGGCUCACCUCGGAAUGCAUUGAAACUGCCAGACUAGAGUACUGUAGAGGGGGGUAGAAUUCAGGUGUAGCGGUGAAAUGCGUAGAGAUCUGAAGGAAUACCCAGUGGCGAAGGCGGCCCCCUGGACAGAUACUGACACUCAGAUGCGAAAGCGUGGGGAGCAAACAGGAUUAGAUACCCUGGUAGUCCACGCCGUAAACGAUGUCUACUUGGAGGUUGUGGCCUUGAGCCGUGGCUUUCGGAGCUAACGCGUUAAGUAGACCGCCUGGGGAGUACGGUCGCAAGAUUAAAACUCAAAUGAAUUGACGGGGGCCCGCACAAGCGGUGGAGCAUGUGGUUUAAUUCGAUGCAACGCGAAGAACCUUACCUACUCUUGACAUCCAGAGAAGCCAGCGGAGACGCAGGUGUGCCUUCGGGAACUCUGAGACAGGUGCUGCAUGGCUGUCGUCAGCUCGUGUUGUGAAAUGUUGGGUUAAGUCCCGCAACGAGCGCAACCCUUAUCCUUGUUUGCCAGCGAGUAAUGUCGGGAACUCCAGGGAGACUGCCGGUGAUAAACCGGAGGAAGGUGGGGACGACGUCAAGUCAUCAUGGCCCUUACGAGUAGGGCUACACACGUGCUACAAUGGCGCAUACAGAGGGCAGCAAGCUAGCGAUAGUGAGCGAAUCCCAAAAAGUGCGUCGUAGUCCGGAUUGGAGUCUGCAACUCGACUCCAUGAAGUCGGAAUCGCUAGUAAUCGUGAAUCAGAAUGUCACGGUGAAUACGUUCCCGGGCCUUGUACACACCGCCCGUCACACCAUGGGAGUGGGCUGCAAAAGAAGUGGGUAGUUUAACCUUUCGGGGAGGACGCUCACCACUUUGUGGUUCAUGACUGGGGUGAAGUCGUAACAAGGUAACC